AUAAUGGUGGCUUAAUUUGUUAGUGUCCGCUUCGGAUGCGGGAGGUCGCGGGUUCGAAUCCAGACCUAGUUAUA
Non-coding RNA from Potamilus streckersoni, 74 nucleotides. The record is from the annotation of a GenBank genome assembly. Lineage: Eukaryota; Metazoa; Mollusca; Bivalvia; Unionida; Unionidae.